RNAcentral lists this non-coding RNA (27 nucleotides) under Rattus norvegicus (Norway rat). Lineage: Eukaryota; Metazoa; Chordata; Mammalia; Rodentia; Muridae. The record is from RNAcentral.
UGCAAGUCUGCUUUUGUGGUUGCCUGA